UCUUAUAAUUAUUAUUUUCACAAAACACUAAUUAUUCCCUAAUUAAGUUACAAGAUUUGAUAUCAUUUAUAAUAAUCAUAUUAAUAAUAAAUAUAGAAAAUGUGCCUACUUGAUAAAGGUGUGACCCUAUAGGAUCAUAUAUUAUUAGCAAUAUCACUCCAUAAUGAUUCUUACACAGAUUGAUUCAACAACAACGUGAUGAAUUUUGGUCGUUGACUUAACCAUUUACUAUUUACUAGUUUGAGCUAUGACAACCUGAAAUUUCCAUUAUGUACGAACAAUAUCUAUUCAAUAGAAGCCAGUCCAGUUUCAGUGAUUUUCAGACUUUUCCGAACAAGUUUGUGUACAUUAGGGUUUACGUUUCAGGAGUUAUCAGGAGAGUAGAUGCUCCUGGAUUUGUGAAACUUGAACAUUCCAAGUUUCAUAAUGUUAUGGUCCAACUUCCGGAAUAAAAAUAUUUUCUGUCAAAAUAUUUCAGGACUAUAAAUAGAUUUCUGAACUAAAUUCAUUCAUUAUUCACAUUUCCAACUAGAGAAAAUCCAUUUUCUCUCUCACGGAUCUUUGGGUUUUCAUCCCAGAUUGUGAGUCUACUUCCCUAAAUGUGUUUUAAUGCUUGUUAUAUGCUUUAUAACAUUGUUUACAUGUUUAAAAUACAAGAUCCGGGAGCUUACGGCCCAAGAACGUUCUUGGGGUGUAAACUCCAAAACGAAGCCUAAAGGCUUCCUAGUCCCGAUUCCUUGUUAUACAACUAGUUUAGAACUUAUUGUAGGAUCUUUUGAGGCUAGAAAUCAUCCAAGAUCAUAAGGAUUUUGGAGUUUACGGCCCAAGAGUUCUUGGACCGUAAACACAAUUUCCAAGGGCCAAAGUGUGCCCUAAAUGACCCCUAAGGCUUAAGGCAUUUAUCCCUCUAAUGCUUGUAGCUAAUUUGGACACCAAAACACUUCAAAAUCAUAAAAUUCUAGGAGUUUACGGCCAAGAAAAGCUCUUGGGCCGUAAACCCCUUUUUCAAGGGUUAAAAGUGCCCUAAACACCCUUAAAGCCUUAAGACAAUUAAACUUGGAUACUUGUAACUUGAAUGAGGAGAAAAUGACAUCAAAACCAUCCCUUAAAAGAAGUUUACGGCCAAGGAACUGUUGGGUUUUGAGCAAUCUAAUACUUCCUAAGUGUGCAUGCAACCCUAAUAAACCUUNGUAGUAUGUUAGAUUAUACUUGUUGUCUUCGUGAUACUUGUAUGUGCCUGGUAGGGAGGUGAGUGUGGGCGAGGUCCCGUAUCUCACCACUAUCUGGGUAGGGAGGGGGUUCCAUAUCUAGAUAUUAGUAGAGUAGGGGCGAGGCCCGUGAUAGGAAGGAUGUGAGUGUGGGCGGGGGACCGUAUCUCACUACUAGUAUGAGUAUGGACGGGGUUCCACUACUUCAGUAGUAGAUCAGGGGCGGGGUCCAAGUCAGGCGAGGCCUUAGUUCAGCGUACAGUUAGACUAUGUUUUGUAUGCUCUAGUAUGUUAUUUGAUUGUAUGUAUGUGUAUGGCGUGCGAGGCCCAGAGACAGGCGAGGCCUAUGAGAAACAAAACUGUUUACCGAGCGGGGCUUGAAGAUAGGCGNAGGUUGUAGUACUUUUAAACUCCAUUUCAUGACUUGUUUGAGAGUUUACGGCCAGGAGCUUACUCCCCUGGGCCGUAAACUCUAAUGAAUAUGGUCUUUUGACCUUAAACUUUCAUUAGGGGCAUUGCACUUCUUUGUUGCAACCCAUUAGCCUCCUAGCACUUGACCAAAAGUGUUGUCCUCGCGCUUAAAUGUUAUUACUUGUAUAAUUAGUGUUAUAAUCACUAAUUAUUUAUAUACAUAUGUUUCAUAUGUAAUUAGGAUCAUUGUGUGUGUCUAAGUCUUCACUUGACACCAAGCACUUGUCUGAUCCUUCCGUACGAUAACAGCCCGUUCAAUUCCAGUCACAUACUGCAGGUGAGUUCAUACCCCUUAACUGUGACAACCCGAAAUUUUCCAUUCAAAUCAAACCACAUCAAUCCAAUGGAAGUAGAGCAGUUUCAGUGAAAAUUCAAACUUUUGGAAUAAGUUUGGCAGUUUUAGGGUUUUACACCUAAGGAGUUAUUAGGAGAGUGGGUGCACUAGGAUUUUGUGCAACACUGUAAUUCCAUUACUCUAGGUCAUUAGAAUCCAUUCCGAGAAUAGAAAUAUUUUCUGCCAAAAAUCUCUGGACUAUAAAUAGAAUUCUGAACCAAAUUGGUUCAUUAUUUGAUUUCCAACUAGAGAAAAUCCAUUUUCUCUCUCACGGAUCUUCGGGUUUUCAUCCCAGAUUGUGAGUCUACCUCCCUAAAUGUGUUUUAAUGCUUGUUAUAUGCUUUAUAACAUUGUUUACAUGUUUAAAAUACAAGAUCCGGGAGCUUACGGCCCAAGAACAUUCUUGGGGUGUAAACUCCAAAACGAAGCCUAAAGGCUUCCUAGUCCCGAUUCCUUGUUAGACAACUAGUUUAGGACUUAUUGUAGGAUCUUUUGAGGCUAGAAAUCAUCCAAGAUCAUAAGGCUUUUGGAGUUUACGGCCCAAGAGUUUCUUGGACCGUAAACACCAUUUCCAAGGGCCAAAGUGUGCCCUAAAUGACCCCUAAGGCUUAAGGCAUUUAUCCCUCUAAUGCUUGUAGCUAAUUUGGACACCAAAACACUUCAAAAUCAUAAAGUUCUAGGAGUUUACGGCCAAGAAAAGCUCUUGGGCUGUAAACCCCUUUUUCAAGGGUUAAAAGUGCCCUAAACACCCUUAAAGCCUUAAGACAAUUAACCUUGGAUACUUGUAACUUGAAUGAGGAGAAAAUGACAUCAAAAUCAUCCCUUAAAAGAAGUUUACAGCCAAGGAACUGUUGGGUUUUGAGCAAUCUAAUACUUCCUAAGUGNNNNNNNNNNNNNNNNNNNNNNNNNNNNNNNNNNNNNNNNNNNNNNNNNNNNNNNNNNNNNNNNNNNNNNNNNNNNNNNNNNNNNNNNNNNNNNNNNNNNAAGUUGACUUUGACCGUUGAAUUUGACCAAGAUUGACCAGGGUUGACUUUUGAAUUAUUAUGGUCUAAAUGUUGUUUUGGGUAUUGAUAGUUCGGGAAGCUGAAGGGUCAGCGGUUCAGAAGUGUCGGGGGNNNNNNNNNNNGAAGUGUCGGUUGGCAGUCAUAAGUGUUCAGCGAGUCUUCAGCAGUGCGAGGUGAGUCUGCUCAAUGUGCGCAUGGGUCUACGGCCACAAUGCCGACCCAUUAUGUUUAUGUUUACUUUAUGUUUAUGUAUAAAAGGAAGACCUGGGGGUAAGCCCUAGGCAUUAUUGAUAUAUGUUCUGGGUUACGACCUGAUGUCGGGCGAGGCCCAAGGAAUGUUAGGAUGCUAGAGGUCUUUGUGAUUCUUGUAUGUGUCGGUAUGAUAGGUUCCAGAUCGAGGGUCCGAUGUCGGGGUAAGCCCGAAGUAUGUUAGAUAAUAGUAUGUCUCCGGACCGGGGGUCCGACACCGGGGUAAUCUCGAGGAAGAUUCUUAUGUAGUAUGUUAGAUUAUACUUGUUGUCUUCGUGAUACUUGUAUGUGCCUGGUAGGGAGAUGAGUGUGGGCGAGGUCCCAUAUCUCACCACUAGCUGAGUAUGGAUGGGGUUCCAUAUCUAGAUAUUAGCUGAGUAGGGGCGAGGCCCGUGAUAGGAAGGAUGUGAGUGUGGGCGGGGGCCCGUAUCUCACUACUAGUAUGAGUAUGGACGGGGUUCCACUACUUCAGUAGCAGAUCAGGGGCAGGGUCCAAGUCAGGCGAGGCCUUAGUUCAGCGUACAGUUAGACUAUGUUUUGUAUGCUCUAGUAUGUUAUUUGAUCGUAUGUAUGUGUAUGGCGUUCGAGGCCCAGAGACAGGCGAGGCCUAUGAGAAACAAAACUGUUUACCGAGCGGGGCUUGAAGAUAGGCGGUAAAAAGACCGACGAAAACGGACGUCGGAUGAAAAAGAUACAAUGUAACACCAAGUAACUUAUUAAUUCAUACCAUAUUAANCGAGGCCUUAGUUCAGCGUACUUAGACUAUGUUUUGUAUGAUCUAGUAUGUUAUUUGAUCGUAUGUAUGUGUAUGGCGUGCGAGGCCUAGAGACAGGCGAGGCCUAUGAGAAACAAAACUGUUUACCGAGCGGGGCUUGAAGAUAGGCGGUAAAAAGACCGACGAAAACGGACGUCGGAUGAAAAAGAUACAAUGUAACACNUAUAAUGUACAGAACACGCUUGUAUUAAAAUUAUAUAUUUAAUGCAAUGGAUGAUGUUGUUUGCUUAUUUACAUUUACUGUGUUGUGAUACUUUACAUGACGUCCUCCGCCCCAGAACGUUUCCGCCGUUCUUGGUUUUGGGGUGUGACAUGAGCUUUUGUCAAACUAGAGGUAUUGUGCUACAGACUGAAUUUUAGCUUAUGAUUGGUUUAGGUGAGUUAUAUAGCUGAUACAUUAGGACUUCGAGUAGUUAGAUUCUGCUCUUUGAUUCAGGUUAGUUUUAUGACUAUACUAUAUAGGACACAAAGGGUUGAUGUAUGAUUGUUUGUCUUUGUAACUGCAUGAAAGACUUUUGUAGUACCAUAGAUAUUGUAUGAAAGACUAUGGUGGUACCAUAUCAAUUGCAUGUAAGACUAUGGUGGUACCAUAACAUUUACAUGAAAGACUAUAUUGGAUCGUAGCAGGAAUCAUAUAUUGGUACUAUUGCAAUGAAAGUGAGCAUAAGACUAUGGUGGUAUUAUAGUGUAACACCCAGUUCCAGGAUGUAUCUUUAUUUAGGAUAACAGACUUCGAUUGGAUCAGGGGAAGUCUCGGGUGGCUAGAGUGGGUGUUUGGAUCCUAAAGGAAUAAGGUUUAUCAGGCUUAGAGGUUGAACCUUGGUCUAAAAUACAAUUUGGUCUUAAUCAUGUUUUAGGACAUGCUGGUCCAGGCCAUAUGUGGAACGACAUGCAAGGUACCGCAGUGCGGUUUCUGUUGUAGCCCAAGUCCAUGUUUCAAAGACUUUUCCCGUACUUACAAGCUUAAACUAUGAAGUUGUGUGAUUUUUGGUAGCCUUUAUCUCGCCAAGGUCCCUUUAGGAACCAACCCUAGUCUCCUUAAGUCUUUUUCUUCACCUUCCUUAUGUUCUUCGUGAUUUUUGAGCAAUAGAAGGAAGAAGCAACCACUUGGAGCUUGUUUGCCAUACCCCUGCUGGCGAUGAAAACGUUGGCCUGUGUGACUUAUUCAUGGAUCACAAUUAAUGAACAUACAAUGAAUAGUACAAAAAUAACAAUAUAAAAACAAGCUUCUAAUAAAUAUGGAACUAGAAGUUACAUUGUCUGAUGUACAACAUGAUAAUGCAAAAUACGGUACGUGCCCUAGCAGUUGGGCAUUUAUGUAAAACGAAGUACGGAACAGUGAUUUAUAAACAAUUCUUUGAUUAUUCUUAGGGGUGACACUCUAGCUUCUUAUGUUCCUGAGAAUACAUGUGUUUUUACGAUACGUCAACAUAGAGUUAGUGAGCUCAUAGGUUUUAAAUCUAUGUACUUUUAUAACAAAACUAUUCUUAUAAAGUAUAUAUAGUUGCUUUACUAACUUAUACAAACAAAUACUUUUUAUAACUGAAACUUAUAUAUAAAAUAUACAAACAUUUUUUUACUUAUAUAAAAUAAUACUUUUUCUAAUCCAAAAAGUAUAAGAUAUGGUGUAUAAGUUAUUGGCCUUGAUCUGAAAGGAUUAAAUGGUUAAUGGAAAAUUGGAAUCUGACUGAAAAUCAUGACCCCACCUAGGAUAGAUUGCGACAUGAUCACUAAAUUUUUUUGAGACUAUUUUAUCGGUUAGUGGUCACGGCACGACCGAUGGUUGGUCACGGAGUGAUGAAUGUUGGUCGUUGACUUUGUUGGAUUAGGUGUCUAAGUCCAUAACUAUAAUUGGUAUGUACUUGACCCGAUAGUAGUAGGGUCCAUUUUGGGUUGCCUUCCCCAAAACAAUUUGAUAGAUGGGUAUUUGAGUAAGAGGUUAUUAUGAUUUAUUAAUAUAUUAUAAGUAUAAUAUAUUAAUUGAGAAAUCAUAUUAUUUAAUUAGUAUUGAUCAACGAUUAAUUUAGUGAUCAAAAGAGACUAAUUAAAUGGAUUCAUAUAGAUUGGGCUAAUGAUCCAUGAUUGAUUUGUGAUGGGUUAAGCUUAUGGAUUAGUUCAUGAAGUAUUGGCCUAAAUCAUAUGCAUGGAUAAUACGCUUAUGUGGAUUAGGGUUAGACAUGACUCUUGGAUUUUUACACAUAUAAAUAUAAUGUCUUAAGCCCUAAAAUCGACUACUACUUGCAUUCCAAGAAGAGAAUUUGAUUUUACAGUCUCCUUAGCCUCUCU
This 6327-nucleotide long non-coding RNA is filed under the name Lactuca sativa (garden lettuce). Its description in RNAcentral is "long non-coding RNA (LSAT_LNC010267)". The record is from RNAcentral. Lineage: Eukaryota; Viridiplantae; Streptophyta; Magnoliopsida; Asterales; Asteraceae.